GACGAACGCUGGCGGCGUGCCUAAUACAUGCAAGUCGAGCGAGCUUGCCUAGAUGAAUUUGGUGCUUGCACCAAAUGAAACUAGAUACAAGCGAGCGGCGGACGGGUGAGUAACACGUGGGUAACCUGCCCAAGAGACUGGGAUAACACCUGGAAACAGAUGCUAAUACCGGAUAAGAAAGCAGAUCGCAUGAUCAGCUUUUAAAAGGCGGCGUAAGCUGUCGCUAUGGGAUGGCCCCGCGGUGCAUUAGCUAGUUGGUAAGGUAAAGGCUUACCAAGGCGAUGAUGCAUAGCCGAGUUGAGAGACUGAUCGGCCACAUUGGGACUGAGACACGGCCCAUACUCCUACGGGAGGCAGCAGUAGGGAAUCUUCCACAAUGGGCGCAAGCCUGAUGGAGCAACACCGCGUGAGUGAAGAAGGGUUUCGGCUCGUAAAGCUCUGUUGUUAAAGAAGAACACGUAUGAGAGUAACUGUUCAUACGUUGACGGUAUUUAACCAGAAAGUCACGGCUAACUACGUGCCAGCAGCCGCGGUAAUACGUAGGUGGCAAGCGUUAUCCGGAUUUAUUGGGCGUAAAGAGAGUGCAGGCGGUUUUCUAAGUCUGAUGUGAAAGCCUUCGGCUUAACCGGAGAAGUGCAUCGGAAACUGGAUAACUUGAGUGCAGAAGAGGGUAGUGGAACUCCAUGUGUAGCGGUGGAAUGCGUAGAUAUAUGGAAGAACACCAGUGGCGAAGGCGGCUCUCUGGUCUGCAACUGACGCUGAGGCUCGAAAGCAUGGGUAGCGAACAGG
This 789-nucleotide ribosomal RNA is filed under the name uncultured Lactobacillus sp. RNAcentral describes it as "bacterial SSU rRNA". It matches the Rfam family "Bacterial small subunit ribosomal RNA", at positions 28 to 776 of the family's 1533-position model. The record is from RNAcentral. Lineage: Bacteria; Bacillati; Bacillota; Bacilli; Lactobacillales; Lactobacillaceae.